Long non-coding RNA from Nymphaea colorata (pocket water lily), 1678 nucleotides. RefSeq lists it as uncharacterized. The record is from RefSeq and is a predicted model, not a curated record. Lineage: Eukaryota; Viridiplantae; Streptophyta; Magnoliopsida; Nymphaeales; Nymphaeaceae. The transcript has 2 exons.
UACCAUGUUUUACAUCAGUGGCAGGAUGCCUCUGCAGUACCUGUACCUUCUUCGUUCUUUGGCAAUUUAAAUUUACAGAGAGAGAGAGAGAGAGAGAGAGCCAAAAGCUACAGGGAUCGAUGCAUGCCAUGACAGAUCUCAUGUGCGAUGCAUACAUAUAGAUCCUUUCCCUUGCAAUCUGUCAACAAUGUGUGACCACCAACCAAGCUCUGCAGAGGACAGCCAUCAAGAAUUUCUUCUCUAGUUCUGUUCACUUGGAUCGAAUACAGUGAAGAAGCGAAAAAAGGUGAACCAUGGAGGCACACAUGAGAAGAAGACAUAUCAUAUACUUUGGUUGAUCUGCCUGGCUCCCUGAAUGCCGUCUAUGAAUCACACCAGAGGGGCUGGUGUGCUUACUAGAUGGCAUCAAGGGAGCCAUGCAGGUCAGACUGCAGCUUGGACGUCUGCCAUGAAGGUGAGUGUUAAAUUAAAACUGCAAUUCCUUUAGAAGCAUUCAUUGCUUUAAACCUGUAUAUGUGCUGCUAUUGUGUCUGGCUAUGGGGAUCUCCAUGAUUGACAAGAGAAACGGUCGAUGCCACGAGAGAACUUAUGUGUGGUCUAACUUGGGUCAUAAUGUCAAAGGAGAAGUGGGGAGGCUUCAGCAACCCAAAGUGUUCCAGAGAAAGGUGAUCUGUCUGUGAGAAGUGCAAAAUAAUGGCAGCAUCCUGGCUGAAGAACCAGAUCACUUAAUGGACUUUGCUUCUGCUAGGGAGAUCCGCUGCCAUGUGAUCCAAUAAUCAGGAACAUGUAUGACGAUGAAGAGUUUGUUUACCUCAAUGCGUUCUCACUGUUUACCAGAUGCUCGUCGCUUCCAGGGUUCUGCAAGCAAUUGCAUGACCUUCAACUCUUAUCGUCACUGAAAUUUCGAAAAUUUCCUUAAAAGCUAUGGAUUUCAUUGGUGAAGAUCGGUUUUUAAUGGCUGAAAUUCGUCUUGCAUAUCCUAAACUUAUUUCCGGCCUAAGUUAAAAGGAAUUUCGAAAAUUAGUCUUGCUUUUACUCUUCUUUUCUUUCAAUUUGUACUUAAGUGUCGAGUCGCAUGAAACGGACAAUGAUUAAUCCAGAUUCUUCCGCGUCCAACAUCAUUUAUUCAAAGGCACUUUCGGCACACGCCGCAUGUCACGGAAGUUCGAUCAUUGAGUUCGCAUUUCUAUAAAUUGAAUAUAUAUCCAUUUGCAAAGCUUCAAAAGUAAAAUUACAAUGAAGAUCCAACUUUUAACCUUAAUCCAGAGUACAGGUUUCGCGUUUAUGAUUGUCCUUGAUAUGCGUCUGCCAUUUAAGACAACUGCGGAAUAGUAGCUUCAGCCUUCAGUUUAAGGGGAUGAUCAACUCGGAAAUGAUCAUCUUGGAACCAGUACAGAGUUGUUCGUACGAAUGGUUCUCUUGCAUGUAUAAAUGGCAAGCGUGAGUUGUAAAGGCUGUCAAGUUGAAGACCCUGCUUCAAGACGCAGUUGUGUCGUUUUGCAGCAAGCUCAGCUUUCUCAGCGCGUUCUUUGUAAGGCAUAGAUGCAUGGUGAGGCUCCCCCGAUGUUCUAAUUAUUCUAAAGAAGUGACUUGUAUUGAAUUUUGAUGUUUUCAUUGUGAUUCAUAACAGUUGUUUUGUAAGGCAGAGAUGCAUGUUGAGGAGGUUCAUAAAACUAAA